This 1103-nucleotide long non-coding RNA is filed under the name Sparus aurata (gilthead seabream). RNAcentral describes it as "lncRNA (ENSSAUG00010000217.1)". Lineage: Eukaryota; Metazoa; Chordata; Actinopteri; Spariformes; Sparidae. The record is from RNAcentral.
UACUGAAUAUAUGAAAUAGCUAGUACAGCCGAACUAGUAAUUACACUGCAUUUAGAUGAUACAUGUUGUUACAACCCUAGAGGUCAAAUGCUUGUCUGUCUUUUAAUAACCCUCUUUUUACCUGUGUGUGUGAGAUUGGGUGCAGGUGUGUUUGUGUGUGUGAGAUUGGGUGCAGGUGUGUUUGAGUGGUUGCAGGUUGCCCUGGGAGCUGAUUGGUUCCUGUCUGACAACAAGAGUUUAAAGGCAGGCUCUGCCCAGUUCCUGGGGACUCUCCUCCAUUGACCCAGACUGCCAGCAUGCUUGUCGAAAAUGUGUUUGUUUCGAAUAAAACUUUGUUAAAACGUUCGCUGCUGGUGGUGUUUGGGGAACAGGAAGAGGGGAGUCUCAAUUUCUUGUUGCGCCAGGGUUUCCCCUAGGCCCUGGCUGUAACAAUUGGGGGCUCGUCCGGGAUCUGAAUGUCCAUGAGGUGAGGUAGAUUUGGUUUGGUUUAGUUUGUUUGUGUAAGUGGCCUUUAGUUAAGUGUAGUGGUCAUCUUUUUUGUUAAGUUGUUGCUGCAUGUUGUGUUUCUGACUGAGCACCCUAACCAGAAAGCUGCCAGGCAUUUUCAAGGAUUUGCCAUGUUUGUUAUUUUGCCUUUCUUAUUUUUGGUGGUAAUCCUGAGUGGGGGUACGCUUCAGUGAUUCGCAGUUGACUAGAUUCCUGGUCUUCGGUGAUUCACUGAGUUCAGCGUUUAAAGACGCCUCGAGCUCGGCAAGCCACUGAAGACUAGCUAGGUGAGUUAGCCACCUUUUUAUAGGCAGGUAAAGUUGGGGUGUCUCUGCAGUUUGUUUCCCUUCGUUUAUACUUUGCACAGCAACGUAGUUUUGUGUGAGAUGGCUGCUUUUGUGUUGGUCACGUUGUGAUGUGUGGCCCUAAUUAAUACUUGUGCGCAGUAACUUUUGUGACCUUUUGGUUGUGGUAACUGGACUCCAAUUUUGUUGGGUCACUUGUGGUUGCAGCUUAAGUGUAAGCUGGCAACAUUUUGUGUAGUGGUGACUACAGAGUGAUGCCUUUUGUGUGUGGUUGUUGCAGUCCACUUUUGGUGUGGUCAAACGGGUGUUACU